UUCGGUGGCCAUGGCGAGGGGGAAACACCCGGUCCCAUUCCGAACCCGGAAGUUAAGCCCCUCAGCGCCGAAGGUACUGCACACGGGAGUGUGUGGGAGACUAGGACGUCGCCGGAC
This 117-nucleotide ribosomal RNA is filed under the name Propionibacteriaceae bacterium ES.041. RNAcentral also lists the same sequence under 1 other name. The record is from RNAcentral. Lineage: Bacteria; Bacillati; Actinomycetota; Actinomycetes; Propionibacteriales; Propionibacteriaceae.